GGUAGCGUGGCCGAGCGGUCUAAGGCGCUGGGUUUAAGGCACCAGUCUCUUCGGGGGGCGUGGGUUCGAAUCCCACCGCUGCCA
Molecule: transfer RNA, 84 nt
Filed under: Rhipicephalus microplus (southern cattle tick)
Lineage: Eukaryota; Metazoa; Arthropoda; Arachnida; Ixodida; Ixodidae
Description: tRNA-Leu
Rfam family: tRNA
About the family: Transfer RNA (tRNA) molecules are approximately 80 nucleotides in length. Their secondary structure includes four short double-helical elements and three loops (D, anti-codon, and T loops).
Source: Rfam by way of RNAcentral